RNAcentral lists this ribosomal RNA (275 nucleotides) under uncultured prokaryote. Its description in RNAcentral is "partial 16S ribosomal RNA". It matches the Rfam family "Bacterial small subunit ribosomal RNA", at positions 524 to 800 of the family's 1533-position model. The record is from RNAcentral.
UACGUAGGGGCUAGCGUUAUCCGGAAUUACUGGGCGUAAAGGGUGCGUAGGCGGUCUUUCAAGCCAGAAGUGAAAGGCUACGGCUCAACCGUAGUAAGCUUUUGGAACUGUAAGACUUGAGUGCAGGAGAGGAGAGUGGAAUUCCUAGUGUAGCGGUGAAAUGCGUAGAGAUUAGGAAGAACACCAGUGGCGAAGGCGAUUCUCUGGACUGUAACUGACGCUGAGGCUCGAAAGCGUGGGGAGCAAACAGGAUUAGAUACCCCCGUAGUUCCUGA